GAUGAACGCUGGCGGCGUGCCUAAUACAUGCAAGUCGAGCGAACAGACGAGGAGCUUGCUCCUCUGACGUUAGCGGCGGACGGGUGAGUAACACGUGGAUAACCUACCUAUAAGACUGGGAUAACUUCGGGAAACCGGAGCUAAUACCGGAUAAUAUAUUGAACCGCAUGGUUCAAUAGUGAAAGACGGUUUUGCUGUCACUUAUAGAUGGAUCCGCGCCGCAUUAGCUAGUUGGUAAGGUAACGGCUUACCAAGGCAACGAUGCGUAGCCGACCUGAGAGGCUGAUCGGCCACACUGGAACUGAGACACGGUCCAGACUCCUACGGGAGGCAGCAGUAGGGAAUCUUCCGCAAUGGGCGAAAGCCUGACGGAGCAACGCCGCGUGAGUGAUGAAGGUCUUCGGAUCGUAAAACUCUGUUAUUAGGGAAGAACAAAUGUGUAAGUAACUAUGCACAUCUUGACGGUACCUAAUCAGAAAGCCACGGCUAACUACGUG
Molecule: ribosomal RNA, 497 nt
Filed under: uncultured bacterium
Lineage: Bacteria
Description: partial 16S ribosomal RNA
Rfam family: Bacterial small subunit ribosomal RNA
Source: RNAcentral